Molecule: unclassified non-coding RNA, 250 nt
Filed under: plant metagenome
Description: partial contains small subunit ribosomal RNA, internal transcribed spacer 1, and 5.8S ribosomal RNA
Source: RNAcentral
GUAGGUGAACCUGCGGAAGGAUCAUUAACACGUGUCCCACGUACCAAACCAAAACCGUGAACAUUGAACGUAUGUCCGGGAUGGACUAGAAUGGCGUCGGUAGUAAAGGCCAAGGCAUUUCGGUGCUUUGGGUUCCGCACAUUCCAGCCCAGACCGUUUAACCAAACCAUUAUUUAUUAUUAUUAUCGUCUUAAGUCUAUCGUGUUGACUGAGAGUCUAGGGCAACCUUUACUCAAAAGUUGAUAAUGAU